AAUCCAUAGGUUAAUGAGGCGAACCGGGGGAACUGAAACAUCUAAGUACCCCGAGGAAAAGAAAUCAACCGAGAUUCCCCCAGUAGCGGCGAGCGAACGGGGAGGAGCCCAGAGCCUGAAUCAGCAUGUGUGUUAGUGGAAGCGUCUGGAAAGGCGCGCGAUACAGGGUGACAGCCCCGUACACAAAAGCGCAUGUGCUGUGAGCUCGAUGAGUAGGGCGGGACACGUGGUAUCCUGUCUGAAUAUGGGGGGACCAUCCUCCAAGGCUAAAUACUCCUGACUGACCGAUAGUGAACCAGUACCGUGAGGGAAAGGCGAAAAGAACCCCGGCGAGGGGAGUGAAAAAGAACCUGAAACCGUGUACGUACAAGCAGUGGGAGCACAGGUUUACCUGUGUGACUGCGUACCUUUUGUAUAAUGGGUCAGCGACUUAUAUUCUGUAGCAAGGUUAACCGAAU
Molecule: ribosomal RNA, 458 nt
Filed under: Salmonella enterica
Lineage: Bacteria; Pseudomonadati; Pseudomonadota; Gammaproteobacteria; Enterobacterales; Enterobacteriaceae
Also listed under: 2 other names
Description: partial 23S ribosomal RNA
Rfam family: Bacterial large subunit ribosomal RNA
Source: RNAcentral